This 643-nucleotide long non-coding RNA is filed under the name Malus domestica (apple). RNAcentral's name for it is "long non-coding RNA (MDOM_LNC010889)". The record is from RNAcentral. Lineage: Eukaryota; Viridiplantae; Streptophyta; Magnoliopsida; Rosales; Rosaceae.
CUUUCGGCUAAUAAAGAAAUCAAAAGAAAAAAAAGGUGAAAGACAAAAUGAUGAGAAAACAUCAUGAUGAGGAGGCAUCAUGAUGAUGUUUUUUUCUUUUGUGGUUAUUUUAUUACCAUAAUUAUUGUUGUUGUUUCGGGUAGAAGAGAAGAGUGUGAGGGCUUAUUUUUUAGGAGAGAGCAGAAGAGAGAAGAGUGAGCUGCCGAGAGAAGGAGAGUUGCAGAGAGCCCAAACAGAAAAAAGAAGCUGCUGCUUCAUUUGGUUAGUAAUCAUUCACCAAAGUAGUUGUUGUUGUAAUAGCUUUGAGCUAUAUGUAUAGAGAAGAAAUUAUUCAUUAUAUUUCUUUCUCUAUUUGUUUAUGUGGUGUGUGAGAGCUAUUGGGUGUAUUGGGUUAUUUGGGUUGUGAGAUUGCCAACACUUUGUAAACUCCCAUUUGGUUGAUAGUGGAUUAUUGGGUGAGCUCCUACUGCUCUGAGGACGUACUCCAGUUACACUGACUGUUGAGGAACCUCGUUAAAAUCUUGGUGUCUUUAAUAUUUUGUUCUUGCAUUUUCAUUUGAUAAAUUUCCUGUGGGUUAGCUUGAGUUUGUUCCAACGGGUUUGGUGCUAUCCUAGCACAACAAUUGGUAUCAGAGCACUGGUU